AUGCAAGUCGAACGAGAAAGGGAUUGCUUGCAAUCCUGAGUAGAGUGGCGCACGGGUGAGUAACACGUAGAUAAUCUGCCUUCAAGUCCGGGAUAACCAAUCGAAAGGUUGGCUAAUACCGGAUGAAGUGUUUUUGCGCAGGUAAAAACAUGAAAGAUAGCCUCUUCUUGAAAGCUAUUGCUUGGGGAUGAGUCUGCGGACCAUUAGCUUGUUGGUGGGGUAACGGCCUACCAAGGCUGCGAUGGUUAGCUGGUCUGAGAGGAUGAUCAGCCACACUGGAACUGGAACACGGUCCAGACUCCUACGGGAGGCAGCAGUGAGGAAUUUUGCGCAAUGGGGGCAACCCUGACGCAGCAACGCCGCGUGAGUGAAGAAGGCCUUUGGGUCGUAAAGCUCUGUCAACUGGGAAGAAAUUGUCUGAUAUUAAUAGUGUCAGUCAUUGACAGUACCAGUGGAGGAAGCGCCGGCUGACUCCGUGCCAGCAGCCGCGGUAACACGGGGGGCGCAAGCGUUAUUCGGAAUUAUUGGGCGUAAAGGGCGCGCAGGCGGUCUUGUCAGUCAGGUGUGAAAGCCCGGGGCUCAACCCUGGAAGUGCAUUUGAAACAGCAAGACUUGAAUACUGGAGAGGAAAGCGGAAUUCCUGGUGUAGAGGUGAAAUUCGUAGAUAUCAGGAGGAACACCUAUGGUGAAGGCAGCUUUCUGGACAGAUAUUGACGCUGAGGCGCGAAGGCGUGGGUAGCGAACAGGAUUAGAUACCCUGGUAGUCCACGCAGUAAACGUUGUACACUCGGUGUAUCGGAUAUUAAAAUCUGAUGUGCCUAAGCUAACGCAUUAAGUGUACCGCCUGGGAAGUACGGUCGCAAGACUAAAACUCAAAGGGAAUUGACGGGGGCCCGCACAAGCGGUGGAGCAUGUGGUUUAAUUCGAACUGCAACGCGAAGAACCUUUAGCCUUGGGUUUGACAUCCUGUGAAUAUCUGGGUAAUUCCAAUAGGCCUUCGGGAGCACAGAGACAGGUGCUGCAUGGCGUCGUCAGCUCGUGUCGUGAGAUGUUUGGUUAAGUCCAGCAACGGAAGCAGCCAACCCACUUAAAUUCCGUUAGUUGCCAGCACAUUAAUUGGGUUGGGAACUCUAGCGAGUGCCCCGGUCAACGGGGAGGAAGGUGGGGAUGACGUCAAGUCCUCAUGGCCCUUAUAUCCAGGGCUACACACGUGCUACAAUGGUAGGUACAAAGGCACGACUCUGCAAAGAGCAGCGA
RNAcentral lists this ribosomal RNA (1257 nucleotides) under uncultured organism. RNAcentral's name for it is "bacterial SSU rRNA". It matches the Rfam family "Bacterial small subunit ribosomal RNA", at positions 55 to 1270 of the family's 1533-position model. The record is from RNAcentral.